Molecule: ribosomal RNA, 597 nt
Filed under: uncultured bacterium
Lineage: Bacteria
Description: bacterial SSU rRNA
Rfam family: Bacterial small subunit ribosomal RNA
Source: RNAcentral
AAUACUUAGGAAUCUACCUAUUAAUGGGGGACAACAUUUCGAAAGGAAUGCUAACACCGCAUACGCCCUACGGGGGAAAGCAGGGGAUCUUCGGACCUUGCGUUAAUAGAUGAGCCUAAGUCGGAUUAGCUAGUUGGUGGGGUAAAGGCCUACCAAGGCGACGAUCUGUAGCGGGUCUGAGAGGAUGAUCCGCCACACUGGGACUGAGACACGGCCCAGACUCCUACGGGAGGCAGCAGUGGGGAAUAUUGGACAAUGGGGGGAACCCUGAUCCAGCCAUGCCGCGUGUGUGAAGAAGGCCUUUUGGUUGUAAAGCACUUUAAGCGAGGAGGAGGCUACUGGUACUAAUACUACCAGCUAGUGGACGUUACUCGCAGAAUAAGCACCGGCUAACUCUGUGCCAGCAGCCGCGGUAAUACAGAGGGUGCGAGCGUUAAUCGGAUUUACUGGGCGUAAAGCGUGCGUAGGCGGCUUUUUAAGUCGGAUGUGAAAUCCCUGAGCUUAACUUAGGAAUUGCAUUCGAUACUGGGAAGCUAGAGUAUGGGAGAGGAUGGUAGAAUUCCAGGUGUAGCGGUGAAAUGCGUAGAGAUCUGGAGG